RNAcentral lists this ribosomal RNA (440 nucleotides) under uncultured bacterium. Its description in RNAcentral is "partial 16S ribosomal RNA". It matches the Rfam family "Bacterial small subunit ribosomal RNA", at positions 338 to 795 of the family's 1533-position model. The record is from RNAcentral.
CCUACGGGGGGCAGCAGUGGGGGAUAUUGCACAAUGGGGGGAACCCUGAUGCUGCGACGCCGCGUGGGUGAAGAAGCGCCUCGGCGCGUAAAGCCCUGUCAGCAGGGAAGAAAAUGACGGUACCUGAAGAAGAAGCCACGGCUAACUACGUGUCAGCAGCCGCGGUAAUACGGAGGGGGCAAGCGUUAUCCGGAUUUACUGGGUGUGAAGGGGGCGCAGACGGCGGUGCAAGCCAGGCGUGAAAGCCCGGGGCGCAACCCCGGGACUGCACUUGGUACUGAGUGGCUAGAGUGCAGGAGGGGCAGGCGGAAUUCGUGGUGUAGCGGUGAAAUGCGUAGAUAUCAGGAGGAACACCGGUGGCGAAGGCGGCUUCCUGGACUUCAACUGACGUUGAGGCCCGAAAGCGUGGGGAGCGAACAGGAUUAGAUACCCUUGUAGUC